UCGGCCCUGAGAUUGAUUGAAAGGGAAAAAGAAUAAGUUAUUUGUUCAUAACUCAAUAACUUGGUUUAUUGGAAAUUUAUAUUCAUUGCAUUUAGCCACAAAAUAAAACUUAUGCACCAUUGCAUAAGAUAUCUCCACAAUAAUAUAGAAAGGGCAUUAUAUUUGUAUUAACAAUGUAAUGUUUAAUUCGUUUUAUGGGUCCAUUUGCAAUGUAAGGACAUAAUACCUUGUAUACAUGACCAAAGCCACCUUGCCCCAAUUUGUUACCAACUGAAAAGUUAUUUGUAGCUUCCUUUAUAUGCGAGUAAUCAUACUGUGAAAAUCCCAAGUUGCUGCCUUCCAUCUUCCAUAAACUUAUCACACUUUGUAUUGCCAAAGACAUUUGUCGUAAUUUUAAUAUUGAAUGCUCUGAAAUUUUUUUUGAAAUUUUAUGCUGCCGAUAUUUGUCAGGGAACAAUAACUAAUGGCACAAAUUUUGGUCUGCUGUUAUGUUAAUUCAUACCUCUCUGUUGCUGUGUUUUGAUCCAUACAUGAUAAAACAAGCAUGAAAUGAAUAUUACCAUUAGGAAUCCUCCAAUUCCAACCAAGGCAAUCAGUGUUUCUGCAAGGGAGAUCAGGUUGGAUUUAAUCUGUAGGUGUUGUUUGGCAUGUACCUGGCACCAUUGUAAUUACUGCAGAAGGUCUGGCCAGCUAAUAUUGCUGGGUAAGAGAGGAAGAGGAAGAGGAAGAGGAAGAGAUAAUAGUAGCGUUAUGAUGGCCUUUAUUCUAUCUAUAUUGCAGAAUUGCCUGCCAAGAAGUCUAAUGAGUGCCAAAUAUCAUAUUUGCUUCAUUUACCAAGAGUGAUUGAUAGAUGGUGACAUGCCCAUAUUUUCCACAGAGAGCUAUUUCGUGGGUUGGAAAUCUGAGGAGUAAGCUGGUUGCUUUGGUUCUGGCAAAGUGAUGCCAUCGCUGCUAAGAAUUGCAACAACAUCAGCCAUUGUGGGACGAUCUAUUGUUUUUUCUUGAACACACAUCAAUGCCACGGCAAGACACUUAGGAGCCAGAAAAACAACCGUGUAGAGAGGACUGCGGAAGAGUAAACUGCUGCAAUGAUGAAGAAUGCACGGUCUUUCUUUUGUCCUGAAAAUGAUACAUGAAACGAUCAAUAAUGGGGCUUAACAAUUUCUCAAGAAUUUUGGAGCGCCAAGAUGCUCCUCAGAUUAAGCUGAAUUUUCGGAGUUUGAGAAAUAACUCAUCUUGGUAACAAGCAUGAGAAAUUCACAACAUUCAGGUCCAUCUCGUACCGCAAGUUGCACCGCGCCCCGAAGACCGCCCCACCCAUCUUGCCGCCGCCGAUCAUCCUCCGCCUUUCUUCGACGCCACCAAGGCAGGCCCGGCAGCGGUCAGGCGGCAUGUCCCGCGUGCACUGCGCCAGCCCGUACACCGCCCGGUCCGUCUCCCCCGACGACAACGACGGCCACGGCGCUUCGCCCACCGCCCACCUGUCCGGCCGCCUGGC
Long non-coding RNA from Panicum hallii, 1498 nucleotides. RefSeq lists it as uncharacterized. The record is from RefSeq and is a predicted model, not a curated record. The transcript has 6 exons. NCBI's taxonomy places the organism in Eukaryota, Viridiplantae, Streptophyta, Magnoliopsida, Poales, Poaceae.